Molecule: long non-coding RNA, 542 nt
Filed under: Mytilus galloprovincialis (Mediterranean mussel)
Lineage: Eukaryota; Metazoa; Mollusca; Bivalvia; Mytilida; Mytilidae
Source: RNAcentral
CCGGGGUACCUGAGAUCACUCCAUUUAUUGUUUCUUGCUUGCUUGUAUGAUUUUAUUGCUUUGUUUUUUUUUUAGGGAAAGGGUUUUUGUUGCUCAGUUUUUAGUUUAUAUGUUGUGUGUUGUAUUCUGCUGUUGCUUGUAUUUCGGUUGUUUUUCGUCUUUUGCCAUGGCUUUGUCAAUUUGGUUUUUACUUAAGUAUAUGAAUAUGUUUGGUUUCUUUCGGCUCUUUUUUGUCUUGCAGAUUUAAAGGUAACUAGUCAGUGCCAAAUGCAAAAUAAUAUUUAACUUAAUAUUUGAUAGGCUUUUUUUAAAUAUAGUACACAUCUUUGAUGGUGGAUACAAUCAUCGAUUUCAUCAUAGUUAGGUUACUGGUAAUCGUGAUAACAUCGGAUUAACCUCUAGUCGAUCUGUUUCCCUCGGUUUCAGUUUGUAACUCAGAUUUGUUUUCUCUCAAUAGAUUUAUGACUUUUGAACAUCGGUAUACUACUGUUGCCUUCAUUAGAUAAUAUCUUAUUGAGAUUUUGUCGUUGGCCUACUUGAAC